GUGAAUUUAGGACUGCCGUAAGGCGUCCAACCCCUCACUUUCUAACUCUGUGCACUAUGUUGGUCUACUUGAGGGAACGAGUUCUUAGAAUUCUAUUACCAACAGUAUGAUCUAUUACCUUUUUUAAACAUCAGUCAAUGAAUGUCAUCAAAUACAAAACAAAAAA
Molecule: unclassified non-coding RNA, 166 nt
Filed under: uncultured fungus
Lineage: Eukaryota; Fungi
Description: sequence contains ITS1, 5.8S rRNA gene
Source: RNAcentral